AGCAAUCUGACAAUGUUUUAGAACUAUGGCAAAUGGACUGAGAGGGUUUGUUCACAGAUAGCAUCAGAGCUAUUACCAGGUGCCAAACCCAGUUGGAUCUGCUGAGGAAACCUCAUCAGUAAUCAUGGAUGCUGCAUCCUGCAGACCUGGUCUGUGAGUGGGAGCAGCACAGAAUUCAUCCUGAGAAGAGUGGAGGUGCAGGGCCUGUCACUUGAAAAGGUACUCUCAGGAAAGACCAGAGAUGGGUUGAGGUACAGCUAACUCUCUAACUGUGACAUCUGCCUUGGGAGACCUUUUAACCUUUAGAGGACAGGUUGCCCCAAUCCCAUCUCCCCUUUUCCUUGUCACAUUUGUAUUUCCAUUUCCUCCUUACCCCUACCCAUUUUUGCAUAUCCCAGUACACCUGUUGUACAAUCCCCAUCUAUGUGCACAGCUAUGGAGGUUCCCUCAGUGCACUGGAGGUUGGUUCUAGUGGGUGUCACCAGUCAGAGAGCUCCUGGACUAUAGCUGGCAGGGUUGGGUAGACCCUGCAAUGAUCACCCUGUGCAUGGGGCUGCUCCCCCACAUGUUCCUCUCUGUGUGCUUGAGGAGGUGAAGACUAUCCAGUUCCUUGCAGAUCCUGGGAAGGAGUCCUCUGAAGCUUGACAUUAGGUCCCUGUCCUAUGAGCUCUCCUAGUUGCUUGCAAUUAAUUCACAUAGGCCAGCUUUCAUUCCAUGUUGCUUACAAAGCCUGCUUGGGACAUAAGUGGGUGCCACCUUCACAUAGCUGUGAGGUAUGGUUUACAAUCUCCUGCCACCUGCCAUUUCUGCAGUAACUCGGAGAGGAAACCAUGGAGCAUGCUUCAUUCCUUAAAUCACACAUGCGGGCAGAGUUCCUUUAAGCAUUGUCCACUGAUUUCUUAGAGUCUGUCUCCAAACAGUGGGCAUUAUCCAGAGUUCUCUGCUUGGUGGCCUCCUCUGGUUCCAUCAUUCUGACCCUAUGACCUGCACUCCGGUUCUUGCAUACUUUGUCCCCCAUAAUUAAUUGUUCCUUGCUCCUCUAUAGCUUGCCUCUCCCUACCUUUUGUCGAGGUGUGGUUAAAUGUGUUUGUUGAGGGAGGAGCCCCUUUGGCCCCACCCAUCCCUACAGGGAUCACAUAGUCUGGCAAUUUCAUGAGCAGUCAGUUCACAUUAUAUUAAAAAAAAAAUCCAUUGUUACCAGAAUACCAGGAUUAUCGAAGAGAACAACGUGCCAUACUGAAAUUACAAAUGGAUGAUUUUUAGUGAACAGCCUACUUUUACAAAAGAAACCUAUUACAUCAUAUGUAUUUAUUUUGUGGUUCAUGACGAUAAUUAGUUCAGCACUCUUGUUAGAUAUGUUACAAAAACACUCAAGAAGAUGGAAAUUACUCCGCAGUUCACCAGCAUGAAAAGCCAUCUGGGCUAGUUGUCUUCCAGACUAUCUUCCUACUGUGUUAACUCUACCCACAAAUUAUAACUCAAUAAUAAGGAACAUGGUGGGGCAGUGAAAGUGACUUCAAAAAAAAAAAGCCCCAUUAAUCACAGUAGCAGCCAAGAUACAUUCAAUGUGAAAGUUAAAGUUUAAACCUGUAGGGUCAGAUUCUGCCAAGCUGAGUAGUGCCUUACUGCAUGAGGAAAGAAAUGCAACUUCUCCCAGAGGGAGAUACUACUUAACAUGAAUAAUGGGGGCAGAAUCUGGGCCAUCCUCAAGUGAAUUAUAUUUCAGUCUGCUGGAUGGGUGCCUGUUGGCAUGUUUACAAAUUGAAAUAAAUAAACUAUAGACCAAUUUGUUAUUAAAAGUGCAGUCAGACUUAUCUGAUGCCAUUUACCUCCUCUAUGGCUGUAUUGUGACUAUUCUGAAGAUUAAAUAACAGAUGUGAAGGAAACAUUUAGUUUUUUGCCAGAUCAUUUUUCAGUAACCAAUAAUUCCUUACUUUAGUACUCAUUUAAUGGUCUCACCUUCUUUUUUUGUCCAAUAAAGUUAAUGAAUCUCUUAUUGCUUUUCUAAAUAAGCUUAGCUAAAUUAUUCAUUUUUCCUGUUUGUGAAUACAUUCUUUACAUCCUAUAAAAAUUAACAAUGCUACAAUAUUUUGAUUGCUGUGACUAAAGAGCUUUGAUUUUACUGGCAAUUAACUUUAACUACUUAUCACAUGUUCACACUGGUCUUGAAGGUCAGUUCAGUUUUGUGUGGCAGGAAACACUCCUCUUGAAUCAACUCUGCUAUCACUUUACCAUUUAAAUGCCUGCUAAUGUUGCCAGUUCAUUUAACUUCAGUUAACCCUCAAAUUUAACCUUUUAAAGAAAUUUAAUUAAAUCUUUUUGUGCACCCCAAAUUUUUCCACUGGUUAAAAUUGAGAACUGUAUUGAACUGUGAUCACUAUUUCCCAAAUCAUCCUCACUAGGUGUUUUAUUUAGCAUAUCUUCAUUGGCUCAUAUUUAGUCCAAAAUGGCUAGUUGACUCAAAGACAUAACUAAUUUUAGAAAAUAGAUUCUCUACAAUACAACUUCUAUUCUAUUCCUACUGAUCUGUGAUAAACUUCUAAAUGCGACUCCUAGCCUGCUGGGAUUAACUAUCUUUAGUGUCUCUUAUAAGAUUUCAGGGCUUUCUUUAGUAAAGAUUUCCUAUAAAAACACUUGACCUUUGUCCCUUAAUACUUCAGUCUAAACUGCCUCAACAAUUCCUCUUAUUGAAACAACAACAAAAACCCCAAACCACCCCUAUCCCUCAGCUGUAAUUUAUCAUCACUAUCAUAGACUGCAGUUUCACACCCUUCCUCCUGUGUCUCAUUAAUAUUUUCAAAUAUCUAACCUAACUCUAUCCAUCAUCCACCUAAUUUAGUAAUUCCUAUAGGGUGAACCAUGUCGGCUCCUGCACUGGUACACUAGUAGGAGGAAAGGGUGCAGGUAUCCUGGAUUCAUCCUCAGGAAUGAGGUAAAAAAGAGGUGUGCCUUCUAGCGAUGUUACUGGGUGACCUCAAUAGCAGUCACACCUGUAACUGACAGCAGAAUUGAACAGCAUAGCUUUUGUAUUCCCAAUCCCAAGGGGAUGAAUAGAAUAAAAAAAAAAAACACACUUAAGAAUGUUUCUUAAUUUUUGGCUUCCACAAAUAGUGAAAACUGUAUAUGGCACUUGAGAGGAAAUCACUUACCACCAAUUUCCUUCAAAAAGCAAGAAGUCUGCCCUUUCACAUAUAGUUUCCAGUUAGAGAAAAUAAAUUGGAGUACAGACAAAACAUUUGCUUCAAUGAAUUACAACAGCAUUUGAUAGUAGUUACAACCUUCAGAUAAGUCAGGUUUGGUCAGCUAGGUCACCUACAGUAUAUAUUUCACAGAGUCUUUUGCUGCAACUGUAAAGUUAUUUAAUUUAUUUUUGAGAGGAAAAAAGCAAUUUGACCUAUCUAAACUGAUAUAACCCCUGGUGGGAGAAAUGCUUAAUAAGUUUAUCAGUUACCUAGGGGAGCAGAUGAUGGGAAUAGAAUAAAUAGGAAUCACAUUUAAAAUUGAGUUCACCUUUGAUGCAUGUACUUUUGUUUAGUUUAUUUAAGUUUUACACAUCUUUCUAGAGAUGUUACACAAUACAAUAUAAUGAAGAUAAACUCUUUGGCCCUCAUUGAGUCUCAUUUCUUUUAAGGCCCCUUUAAAAUGCUAGAGAAGUGUAAAUGGAUAUUAAUGAGAAUUAGAAUCAGUCCCUUUAUCUUAAAAUUAAGGGUUUGGGGGGGGGUUUAAUUUACAUUUAUAAAGCAUAUUUCCUGCCAAAAUGCUUUUCAGCAUGUAUAACACACCACUGCUGAAAUACAUAACAGCUGGAGAGGAAAACAGGAGACACAUGGAGCAUAAUAUAACUUAAGUAAAAGAAGAAAAAGUUUUGGGCAAGGAAAUUGGGGUAAACCAUUAAUCUUAGGAAAGGGCUUAUGAGAUCUUUGAAAUCCACAUAGUAAAGACAGGGCUGCAGCUUUAAGGUCUCAUAAAAGACCAAAAUAUAUUAAAUUGCAUGCCAGUUUAGUCUGUCACCUCAGAAGGAGUAAGGGCUAAGUCAGUCCUGUCAGGAUUUGAACCUAUAGUUCAAGGGAGUGUGGUGAUCCUUAGACUGCUGCUUUAUCACUUUAUAUUAUAGCUGCAUAAAUCAUUUUAUCAGACCAAAUAACAAACAUUAAUAUACUCUUACAUCUAAAUCCUUAAUCAUAAAAAGAGUUUUCAGGCAGAGUCCUCAAUCAAUAGAGGAUUUUUUCUUAGAGUCCUGUGUAUAAAAAAAAGUUCAUAUCAUUGUGUAGCUAAUCUUUUUGCAUAUCUACCUUUAUAUCUAUCCCUCCAUUCAUCUGUCCAAUUCAAUCCAAAUCCUAAUAACUGGGUCAGUUUUUUGCAGUGGCUUCUUGGUGAAUUAGAAAAUGAAAAAGCAGACAACAUUCUCCUCCCCCCAAAAAAAACCCCAAAAACAAAAGAAAACACAAACCAACCAACCAAACACCAUUCAAUCAUAUUUGGUUUUGGUGAAUAAAUAUUUUACUUGGUGAGGGGACUGCGUUUUUCACCAGCUUUCUCAACCUAAAGCAUUUUUUAAAAUCUUUCAUUUUCUCCCAUUCACUGGAGGGAAUCAAACUGGUUAACCCUAGCAUUCUAAUACAAAUAUAAUAUAAAAGUUGUCAAUAUUUUCAAUGUAUAGAUGAAUGUGAGCAAACACUUUUAUGCUCAGAAAUGAUUAUCAAACAAUUAAUAUUCUAAUAAAUAUAUGAGAAAUGCCGGAGUCUCUUUCUACUCUGUACUGUGCCUCAGAAAGGAGAAAGUAAUAGUUGCGCUUUUACUUAAUCCACACUGGAAUAGCUAUAUGGAAGUGACAGCAGUUCUCUUUACUUCUGCAUUUGCUUUUUAAGGAUUUCUUUCAUCUAUUACAUGACAUAGAAUUCUUUGGACCAAGAAAUAUAGGUCCUGAUUCUCCAUAGCCCUGCACUUUGUGUAGUCAUUUACACCAAGGUGAGGUGAUUGCACAGUGGAUGUAAAAUACUAUCAGAUCAGAAUGGUACCAUUUAACACCCAUUUUGCCCUGGUGUAAAUGUGAGUCAGACCUAUAGGAGGCAGAAGGUUCCUCCAAAUUCUCUUUACAGAGUACCCUAGGAAGCAUUCCUCAAGUCAGAGAAGGUUUGGGAGACUGGAAAUUUUGCAGGGAGACAGGCCUUCCAGGCUCAGAGAUCCACAAAGUUUAUGACAAAGGGACUCCUCCUCAGCUCUGCAAAGGUUAAAGCUAUCCUGUAUAUACUACCGCUCCUUUAAGCUGGUUCCCCCAUCCCUAUGGCUCCAGUUUGCCACAAACAGUUUGCUAAGCAAUGCUCUAAUUGAUUGCAGUGGAUCUUACAGAAUUGAUCAGUAAUGGCCACAUUUCUAAUUUGUUCCAUUCCCCUCUCUUAUGGCUCUUUCCUUUGAUAACCUAAUGAAAGGAAAGCAGUAGCUAGGAGACAAUUAUAAGCAGGAGCACAUUAGGCAAGUCUGCAUAUUUUCCCCUUUGUGAAUAGUAUGUUUUGAGUUCACAAACAUUCCCCUCUGACUCAAUACAUGUAAUACUGAGGAAUACUGAUGACAGUAUAAACCCGCUCCAGCUGAAACUUGCUCCAGCUGAAAUGAUAUUGACGUGAUGCCAAAAUUUUAACACAUUACCCUUAAAUUGUUCUACCUUAAUCUGUGAUGCUGUUGUUCAUCAUUGUACUGUGAUAGUGCUUAGCUGCCCCACUCAUGGAUCUGGGAUACAUACUAGGCAUAAUAGAAACAUAUAACAAAGAGAUUCCACCUUGAAGAGCUUACAAUCUAAGUAGCACAAUCUGUAACCAGCAAUAUAUAUGACAUCCCCUCAGUA
Molecule: long non-coding RNA, 5842 nt
Organism: Dermochelys coriacea (leatherback sea turtle)
Lineage: Eukaryota; Metazoa; Chordata; Testudines; Dermochelyidae
Exons: 3
Source: RefSeq, a predicted model, not a curated record